This 987-nucleotide ribosomal RNA is filed under the name uncultured bacterium. RNAcentral describes it as "bacterial SSU rRNA". It matches the Rfam family "Bacterial small subunit ribosomal RNA", at positions 53 to 1103 of the family's 1533-position model. The record is from RNAcentral.
ACCAUGCAGUCGAACGGUAGCACAGAGAGCUUGCUCUCGGGUGACGAGUGGCGGACGGGUGAGUAAUGUCUGGGAAACUGCCUGAUGGAGGGGGAUAACUACUGGAAACGGUAGCUAAUACCGCAUAAUGUCGCAAGACCAAAGAGGGGGACCUUCGGGCCUCUUGCCAUCAGAUGUGCCCAGAUGGGAUUAGCUAGUAGGUGGGGUAACGGCUCACCUAAGCGACGAUCCCUAGCUGGUCUGAGAGGAUGACCAGCCACACUGGAACUGAGACACGGUCCACACUCCUACGGGAGGCAGCAGUGGGGAAUAUUGCACAAUGGGCGCAAGCCUGAUGCAGCCAUGCCGCGUGUAUGAAGAAGGCCUUCGGGUUGUAAAGUACUUUCAGCGGGGAGGAAGGUGUUGUGGUUAAUAACCGCAGCAGUUGACGUUACCCGCAGAAGAAGCACCGGCUAACUCCGUGCCAGCAGCCGCGGUAAUACGGAGGGUGCGAGCGUUAAUCGGAAUUACUGGGCGUAAAGCGCACGCAGGCGGUCUGUCUAGUCUGAUGUGAAAUCCCCGGGCUCAACCUGGGAGCUGCAUUCGAAACUGGCAGGCUGUAUCUUGUAGAGGGGGUAGAAUUCCCGUGUAGCGGUGAGUGCGUAGAAUCUGGAGAAUACCGUGGCGAAGGCGGCCCCUGGACAAGACUGACGCUCUGUGCAAAACGUGGGAGCAACGAGAUAUAUACCUGGUAUCACCCGUAAAAUGUCAUUUGGAGGUGUGCCUUGAGCGUGGCUCCCGAGCUACGCGUUAAUCGACGCCUGGGGAUACGCCGCACGUUAAACUCAAUGAUUGACGGGGCCGCACAGCGGGGAGCUGUGGUUAUUCAUGCACGCAAGAACUUACUGGUCUGACUCACGAACUUACAGAGAGGAUGGUGCUUCGGAAUGUAAAAGGUGUGCUGGUGUCUCCCUCUGUUGAAAUGUGGUUAGUCCGCACAAGCCAACU